UUUGAUCCAUUUCUAAAGCUUGGUGAUGUCUUCUUGUAGGAAAUCCACAGUCAACAGGUUAAACAUCUAAAUGCUCAUAUGUUAACAAGAGAUUUAAAACACCACAGGCAUUAUGCAGUGACAAAAAAAUAUAAAAAAUAUGGAGGAAAUAUGGGUGAAAAAUGGUGGCUUCUGGCUAGCCUAUCAAGAGAUAAUGAUAAGUGGUGGGUGUGUAGAGAGGUGGGGUACUGCGUAUGAGUCCAGAUAAGAAAACUGAUAAACGAUCGAACUUCUGGAGGUUAGCUAACGUUGCAAUACUGUUUUGCUUCCCAUGGGCUGCACUACACACCAAAUACACUACAUAAACACGAUCUCCAUGCACGCUGCUUCCUUCCCCGUUUCUUUUGAUGCCUGAUACAAUGAAGCAGCGUCUGGCAUAACGUCAGAUUAAUGAGGAAAGGAAAUGCUGAAUAAAAAACUGGCACGCGGCACUCAAGCACAGGAAGCAAUCGGCCAAUCGCAGCGCAUCCUGUAUCGGUGUGGCUAUCACGUGCAUGUGGACUGCUUUCCUAGUGUGCCCAGCGUCCCUAACUGGGUUGCAUCACGGGAACAUCAGGUGUACCACGGAUGGACACUAUGUCGACUUAGCUGAUUAGUUUAAACAGGUUGCACAAAGCAUAUUGUGUGUGAAAUAUAUGAAGAAGUAAUGUUAGGAACGGAGAGCUCCUGCUGACCUUCACGGAGGAGUGGCAGUGGACCCGGAGGCACAGAGGUAACUCAGCAGAGAGUGCUGCUGCCAGGGCCCGGAGGCUGUAGGGUGGCCGGCGAGGAUCUGCAUACACCACCACAUCAUGUAACCUCCCGGGCUGAGAGCCGCCUGAUGAAGAAAACACCAUUGAAGAAAACAUGUGUAACACCCACCUGUGAGCUGAGAAGUGACAGCCUGGACAGUACCCUCCAGUGUGACACCCAUUUUAGAGGCAAUGCUGGCAACCUUGGCCUGCAGGGCUGACAGCUUGUCUAAAAUUAGCUCCUGCCUCUUGCUC
Eriocheir sinensis (Chinese mitten crab) is the source of this 1025-nucleotide long non-coding RNA. RefSeq lists it as uncharacterized. NCBI's taxonomy places the organism in Eukaryota, Metazoa, Arthropoda, Malacostraca, Decapoda, Varunidae. The record is from RefSeq and is a predicted model, not a curated record. The transcript is spliced from 3 exons.